RNAcentral lists this ribosomal RNA (2967 nucleotides) under Triticum aestivum (bread wheat). Its description in RNAcentral is "partial small subunit ribosomal RNA". The record is from RNAcentral. Lineage: Eukaryota; Viridiplantae; Streptophyta; Magnoliopsida; Poales; Poaceae.
AUGGUGACGGCACCUUCGUCCACCGCCACCUGCGCCACAUCCCUCCACUUUCCCCACCCGUCUCCUCCCUGUAGUAUCAGCAGUGCCGUCGGCCACGUCCAGUUUUUCCGCCGGCGCUGUCGCGGGCUGCAGAGGCGGGGAGGCGGCGAGGCAGCGCGCGCGGGGCUGGGGGGAUUGCUGGGCGGCAUGUUCGGCGGCGGCGGCGGCGACGACGGUGAGGCAGCGAAGAGGAGGUACAAGGACACUGUCGCGCUCGUCAACAGGCUGGAGCCCGAGGUCUCCGCGCUCUCGGACGCUGACCUCCGCGCCCGCACCUCCGCGCUGCAAGAGCGCGCGCGCGCCGGGGAAUCCCUCGGCUCUCUCCUCCCCGAAGCAUUUGCUGUUGUGAGGGAGGCUUCCAAUAGAGUUCUUCGUCUUCGCCCCUUUGAUGUACAGUUGAUUGGUGGGAUGAUUCUGCAUAAGGGGGAGAUUGCAGAAAUGAAGACUGGAGAGGGGAAGACACUCGUGGCUAUCCUGCCAGCGUACUUAAAUGCAUUAAGUGGUAAAGGAGUCCAUGUUGUCACAGUAAAUGAUUAUCUUGCCAGACGUGACUGUGAGUGGGUUGGUCAAGUUCCCCGCUUUCUGGGACUGCAGGUUGGACUAAUUCAACAGAACAUGACACCGGAGCAAAGGAGGGAAAAUUACUUGUGCGAUAUUACUUAUGUCACAAAUAGUGAGCUUGGAUUUGAUUAUCUAAGAGAUAACCUUGCGAUGACUGUAGAUGAGCUUGUCUUGAGGAACUUUAAUUACUGUGUGAUAGAUGAAGUUGAUUCAAUCCUUAUUGAUGAAGCACGGACACCUCUUAUAAUAUCAGGCCUGGCUGAAAAGCCAAGUGACCGGUAUUACAAAGCAGCAAAAAUAGCUGAAGCUUUUGAACAAGAUAUUCAUUAUACUGUUGAUGAAAAGCAAAGAAAUGUUUUACUAACAGAACAAGGCUACGCUGACGCUGAAGAAAUACUGGACAUAGAUGAUUUAUAUGAUCCUCGUGAACAAUGGGCUUCAUAUGUUUUAAAUGCAAUCAAAGCCAAGGAGCUCUUCCUUAGAGAUGUGAAUUAUAUUGUUCGUAGCAAGGAGGUGCUUAUUGUGGAUGAGUUCACAGGUCGAGUUAUGGCAGGCAGAAGAUGGAGUGAUGGACUCCACCAAGCAAUUGAGGCAAAAGAAGGUGUGCAGAUACAGAAUGAAACCAUAACCCUCGCAUCUAUAAGUUACCAGAACUUCUUUCUUCAGUUUCCGAAACUCUGUGGCAUGACUGGAACUGCAGCUACAGAAAGACAGGAGUUCGAGAGCAUAUACAAACUAAAAGUUACAGUUGUUCCAACGAAUAAGCCUAUGAUAAGGAAGGACGAUUCAGAUGUUGUUUUCAGAGCAACAAGUGGAAAAUGGCGUGCUGCUGUUGUGGAGAUAUCAAGAAUGAAUAAAGCUUGCCGUCCUGUGCUUGUUGGUACAACUAGUGUUGAGCAAAGUGAAACUUUGUCAGAACAACUACGUGAAGCAGGGAUUCCUCACGAGGUCCUUAAUGCUAAACCAGAGAAUGUGGAGAGGGAGGCAGAGAUUGUAGCUCAGAGUGGACGCCUUGGUGCAGUGACAAUUGCCACCAAUAUGGCAGGACGUGGCACUGAUAUUAUCCUUGGAGGCAAUGCGGAAUUCAUGGCCAGGCUGAAGUUGCGUGAGAUGCUUAUGCCAAGAAUUGUCAAUCCAGUUGAUGGUGUCAUUGUGUCCAAAAAGCAGCUUCCACCAAGAAAGACAUGGAAGACAAAUGAAAGCUUGUUCCCUUGUGAACUUUCAGAAGAUACACUAUCAUGUAUCAAAGAUGCAGUUGAAGUGGCUGUCAAAGAAUGGGGAGAAAAGUCAUUACCUGAGCUAGAAGCUGAAGAGCGUCUCUCCUACUCAUGUGAGAAGGGACCGACACGUGAUGAGGUAAUUGCAACUCUGAGAACCGCAUUCAUGAAGAUAGCAGAUGAAUUUAAGAUUUACACAGAGGAAGAAAAGAAGAAGGUCAUUGCGACAGGUGGGCUUCAUGUAGUAGGAACUGAACGACAUGAGUCCCGCAGAAUUGACAAUCAGCUUCGUGGCCGAAGUGGCAGGCAAGGGGAUCCUGGGAGCUCUCGCUUCUUUCUUAGUCUUGAGGAUAACAUCUUCCGAAUCUUCGGAGGUGACCGGAUACAGGGUCUGAUGCAAGCUUUCAGAGUUGAAGAUCUUCCUAUUGAAUCAAAGAUGCUAACAAGGGCCCUAGAUGAAGCUCAACGGAAAGUUGAGAACUACUUUUUUGAUAUCAGGAAGCAGCUAUUCGAGUAUGAUGAGGUAUUAAAUAGCCAGCGGGAUAGGGUAUAUGCAGAAAGAAGACGUGCCCUAGCAUCUGGUAGCCUGGAGUCACUUAUUGUGGAGUAUGCUGAAUUAACAAUGGAAGACAUAUUAGAGGCAAACAUAGGUCCUGGUACCCCAAGGGAAAGUUGGGAUCUUGGCAAGCUGAUAGCUAAAGUUCAACAGUAUUGUUACCUAUUAAAUGACUUGACACCCGAACUGUUGGAGAGUAAAUGCUCAAGCUACGAGGAUUUACAAGAGUACCUUCGAACCCGAGGGCGUGAAGCAUACUUCCAAAAAGCUGAAAUUGUGGAGAAGCAAGCUCCAGGCUUGAUGAAGGAAGCCGAGCGAUUCCUAAUCCUAAGCAAUAUUGAUAAGCUCUGGAAAGAACACUUGCAAGCUUUAAAGUUUGUGCAACAAGCUGUUGGGUUAAGGGGCUAUGCUCAACGAGACCCCCUUAUCGAAUAUAAACUUGAGGGAUAUAAUCUUUUCUUGGAUAUGAUGGCUCAAAUCCGGAGAAAUGUUAUUUAUUCUGUAUAUCAGGUGUCACCCCCCUCGAUGGUCGAGGCGCCAGCACUACUGCCGGUGGAGGGGAAGAAUCGGGGUAAAUUGGCGGCAGGAGGGUAA